RNAcentral lists this non-coding RNA (24 nucleotides) under Drosophila melanogaster (fruit fly). The record is from RNAcentral. Lineage: Eukaryota; Metazoa; Arthropoda; Insecta; Diptera; Drosophilidae.
UGUCUAGGUUUAUCUCUAACAAGA